Long non-coding RNA from Cygnus olor (mute swan), 162 nucleotides. RefSeq lists it as uncharacterized. Lineage: Eukaryota; Metazoa; Chordata; Aves; Anseriformes; Anatidae. The transcript has 3 exons. The record is from RefSeq and is a predicted model, not a curated record.
CUUGAAUGCUGCUGGCUACGAAGGGAGUCCCUGAUAUGUCUGUAGCUCUCUCUUCAGCUUUAACCAAUGGAGUGUCAACUCAGCUGAGAAGAAUAUAAAGGAUCUGCUCUUUCAUGUACGUGUUUGUUUCCUGCAAGCUGGAAAACCAUAAACAACUUGAGG